GCUAACUCGGUGCCAGGAGGCGGGGGAAUACGGAGGGUGCGAGCGUUAAUCGGAAUUAGUGGGCGUAAAGCGUGCGCAGGCGGUUUGUUAAGCGAGAUGUGAAAGCCCUGGGCUCAACCUAGGAAUAGCAUUUCGAAGUGGCGAACUAGAGUCUUGUAGAGGGGGGUAGAAUUCCAGGUGUAGCGGUGAAAUGCGUAGAGAUCUGGAGGAAUACCGGUGGCGAAGGCGGCCCCCUGGACAAAGACUGACGCUCAUGCACGAAAGCGUGGGGAGCAAACAGGAUUAGAUACCCGAGUAGUC
This 300-nucleotide ribosomal RNA is filed under the name uncultured Aureimonas sp. Its description in RNAcentral is "bacterial SSU rRNA". It matches the Rfam family "Bacterial small subunit ribosomal RNA", at positions 496 to 795 of the family's 1533-position model. Lineage: Bacteria; Pseudomonadati; Pseudomonadota; Alphaproteobacteria; Hyphomicrobiales; Aurantimonadaceae. The record is from RNAcentral.